RNAcentral lists this ribosomal RNA (450 nucleotides) under uncultured bacterium. RNAcentral's name for it is "partial 16S ribosomal RNA". It matches the Rfam family "Bacterial small subunit ribosomal RNA", at positions 354 to 796 of the family's 1533-position model. The record is from RNAcentral.
GUGGGGAAUAUUGGACAAUGGGCGAAAGCCUGAUCCAGCCAUGCCGCGUGUGUGAAGAAGGUCUUCGGAUUGUAAAGCACUUUAAGUUGGGAGGAAGGGUAGUAACCUAAUACGUUGCUACUUUGACGUUACCGACAGAAUAAGCACCGGCUAACUUCGUGCCAGCAGCCGCGGUAAUACGAAGGGUGCAAGCGUUAAUCGGAAUGACUGGGCGUAAAGCGCGCGUAGGUGGUUCAGUAAGUUGGAAGUGAAAUCCCCGGGCUCAACCUGGUAACUACUUUCAUAACUGCUGCGCUAGAGUACGGUAGAGUGUGGUGGAAUUUCCUGUGUAGCGGUGAAAUGCGUAGAUAUAGGAAGGAACACCAGUGGCGAAGGCGACCACCUGGACUGAUACUGACACUGAGGUGCGAAAGCGUGGGGAGCAAACAGGAUUAGAAACCCGGGUAGUCC